This 761-nucleotide long non-coding RNA is filed under the name Lathyrus oleraceus (garden pea). Its description in RNAcentral is "Pisum sativum (pea) long non-coding RNA (PSAT_LNC034916)". Lineage: Eukaryota; Viridiplantae; Streptophyta; Magnoliopsida; Fabales; Fabaceae. The record is from RNAcentral.
UUGUUGAUAUGGAUAUUGCAAAGUGUUCUUGAGCGUUCUCCUUGGUUUACUGUGCUUAUUUGAUAAGCUGUUUUUAAAUUAUGAAUUGGUUUUGCAGGUUUGCAAAAAGUGAAUGGACAUUGAUUGAAAAGUGGUAUGCUUUUGGAUUUGGGGCGCUGUAGUUAAGGAUUGGAAUUGGGCGCUUGGGAAUUUCAAGAAGCUUUUGGAAAAGUCUUUUGAAGAGUUGCUUCAAACUGCUGUAUUUUACAGCUUAUUUCCAACUUUACAACUUCCUAGAUGUAACAGAACUUUUGGGCAUGUUAUAUAUUUUAAUUUAAACAUUUUUUAUUGUGAUAAUUAUGUAAAUACUUUAGAUUAUUAUAUAAACUUGGAAUUAAUUGGAACUUUGGAUUAUUUGGAAUAUUGUUUGGAAUAUUAUUUGGAAUAUUNAGUGUUCUUGAGCGUUCUCCUUGGUUUACUGUGUAACCAAUUAAUCUGCUUACUUUAUCAUUUAUUUUUCAGUUUUUUAAGUGCUUAUUUGAUAAGCUGUUUUUAAAUUAUGAAUUGGUUUUGCAGGUUUGCAAAAAGUGAAUGGACAUUGAUUGAAAAGUGGUCUGCUUUUGGAUUUGGGGCGCUGUAAUUAGGGAUUGGAAUUGGGCGCUCGGGAAUUUCAAGAGGCUUUUGGAAAAGUCUUUUGAAGAGUUGCUUCAAACUGCUGUAUUUUACAGCUUAUUUCCAACUUUUCAACUUCCUGGCUGUAAGAGAACUUUUCGGCAUGUUAU